AUGCAUCUAGUUUAACGGUAGAACUAAGGUCUCCAAAACCUUCGGUGUGGGUUCGAUUCCUACGAUGCAUGCCA
RNAcentral lists this transfer RNA (74 nucleotides) under Mycoplasmataceae bacterium. RNAcentral describes it as "tRNA-Trp". It matches the Rfam family "tRNA". Rfam says of the family: Transfer RNA (tRNA) molecules are approximately 80 nucleotides in length. Their secondary structure includes four short double-helical elements and three loops (D, anti-codon, and T loops). Lineage: Bacteria; Bacillati; Mycoplasmatota; Mollicutes; Mycoplasmatales; Mycoplasmataceae. The record is from RNAcentral.